Molecule: ribosomal RNA, 504 nt
Filed under: uncultured soil bacterium
Lineage: Bacteria
Description: bacterial SSU rRNA
Rfam family: Bacterial small subunit ribosomal RNA
Source: RNAcentral
AGAUUGAACGCUGGCGGCAGGCCUAACACAUGCAAGUCGAGCGGCAGCACGGGUACUUGUACCUGGUGGCGAGCGGCGGACGGGUGAGUAAUGCCUAGGAAUCUGCCUGGUAGUGGGGGAUAACGCUCGGAAACGGACGCUAAUACCGCAUACGUCCUACGGGAGAAAGCAGGGGACCUUCGGGCCUUGCGCUAUCAGAUGAGCCUAGGUCGGAUUAGCUAGUUGGUGAGGUAAUGGCUCACCAAGGCGACGAUCCGUAACUGGUCUGAGAGGAUGAUCAGUCAUACUGGAACUGAGACACGGUCCAGACUCCUACGGGAGGCAGCAGGUGGGAAUAUUGGACAAUGGGCGAAAGCCUGAUCCAGCCAUGCCGCGUGUGUGAAGAAGGUCUUCGGAUUGUAAAGCAACUUUAAGGUUGGAAGGAAGGCUAAUUUAACCCUAAGUUACGUUGGUGUUACGUUGUAACGUUACCGACAGAAAUAACGCAACCGGCUAAACUCUAGU